Molecule: ribosomal RNA, 499 nt
Filed under: uncultured bacterium
Lineage: Bacteria
Description: partial 16S ribosomal RNA
Rfam family: Bacterial small subunit ribosomal RNA
Source: RNAcentral
GACGAACGCUGGCGGCGUGCCUAAUACAUGCAAGUCGAGCGAAGUUUUUCUGGUGCUUGCACUAGAAAAACUUAGCGGCGAACGGGUGUGUAACACGUAAAGAACCUGCCUCAUAGACUGGGACAACUAUUGGAAACGAUAGCUAAUACCGGAUAACAGUAUUUCUCGCAUGAGAGAUAUUUAAAAGUUGGUUAUGCUAGCACUAUGAGAUGGCUUUGCGGUGCAUUAGCUAGUUGGUGGGGUAAAGGCCCACCAAGGCGACGAUGCAUAGCCGACCUGAGAGGGUGAUCGGCCACACUGGGACUGAGACACGGCCCAGACUCCUACGGGAGGCAGCAGUAGGGAAUCUUCCGCAAUGGGCGAAAGCCUGACGGAGCAACGCCGCGUGAGUGAAGAAGGAUUUCGGUUCGUAAAGCUCUGUUGUUAGGGAAGAAUGGAUAUGUAGUAACUAUACAUGUAAGAGACGGUACCUAACCAGAAAGCCACGGCUAACUACGUG